GCACAGAUGGUGUAACGGCAGCACCAGGGUCUCCAAAACCUUUAGUCAGGGUACCCUUCGGGAAGCCGCUCCGCGUCUACAAAUCCUUGUCUGCGCG
RNAcentral lists this transfer RNA (97 nucleotides) under Tolypothrix sp. PCC 7910. RNAcentral describes it as "tRNA-Trp". It matches the Rfam family "tRNA". Rfam says of the family: Transfer RNA (tRNA) molecules are approximately 80 nucleotides in length. Lineage: Bacteria; Bacillati; Cyanobacteriota; Cyanophyceae; Nostocales; Tolypothrichaceae. The record is from RNAcentral.